ACGACAUCACUGCUCUAGAGCGACUUUAGAAACCUAUCCUAAGUGACAAGUUUAACAUCACUGGGUUGCAUAGCGAUUUAGGAGUGGGAGUAAUUUGAGAUACUUCUCUAUAAGUUCAUUGGUAUGUAACCAAAUACGGCAAUCGAAUCAUAUCAUCCAUAUUAUCCAGGAUCUUGAGGUCAUCACCCCAUACCAAACACCAAGUAUGGGCUGUUUGUUGGUGGUUGGCUAAUUCUCUACGGCUUGGCCGACGUAGUCGAGGCGGUGAGAAAAGUGGCCGUUUCUACUGUAUCAUCUAUAUAUAUAUAAAUAUAACAGUUAUAACAAUGAUUAUUAAAUGUUAAAAAUUUAAUAUACUAUUUUUUGAGCCAAAUAACGGUCAUUUUAACUGUUAUAAUCUGGUUUCCAUAGAAAUCUAGUGGUAUUACGUGCUAUUUAGACGCUUCUCCGUCUAAUCCAUCUUAGAAAUCCAUCAAGUGGUAUAGCGGUAUAACUGUUAUAAUCUGUUAUAAUCGCUUCUCCGUCCUCACCUCCCAACCCGGUCCUCUCUCUCUCUCUCUGCGCGCGCGUUUUCUUUUCUGAUUUCUUGUUUUCAUGCAUUUUUGGAUCCUCAGAAGUCAAGAAGCGGAUUGCUGAUGCCAUGAAGGACAAGCAGGAACCAAGCACUCCCAUAUUAUUCCUGAGACUGGAAGUUGGUGUCAACUGGGAUAUUUAGAAGACAACAGGAACAACCUUUGUGCCCUUAAGCCUCUCUGAAUCAUUUGCACAAGGUCUUUUCUGCAUCAGAGUCAGAGUUUUCUUGUAACUGUAAUACUCACCUUAUCCUAUCUAUAUCUGGUUGACCAUGCAAAGAUGAUCCAACAAUCAAUCCAUUGUAUUUGGACUUUACAUUUUCUUCCUGGCAAGGAUGUGAUAAUCAGCUGAAAGCAUGUCAUCAUAGAUUCUGAUGUUACCAAUAACAAUAGGGAAGAGAUGGCCAUUGAUGAGGCUGAGUGUGAGUCAAGUGAGUUUGCAGGAAAAAUGCUUACUGAGCAGAAAAUGCAAGAGCAGCAAUUGGAGAUGUUAAAGCAAAGCCAGAAGUAUAAUCCAGAGGACCGAUCUGCAAGCAUUGAAAAUCUGCACGAGCAAUUGGAGGGGGCUAAUUUUGGUAGCAGUGCUGCAAUUCUUACACCAGAUCUAAUUCAAGAGGUGGUUAGGAGAACCUCACCCUCUGUCGAGGCGUCUGAAGAAUAAAUGAUUCAGUCGUGGUUAUCUACUUCCACAGUGUUACCUGCAGGCUUUGAUUCGAUGUUGGGAGGAUACUGGUCAGGACACCAACCUCCAAGAACGUGCACCCACCAGCCGUAGACGCAUGGGCCCUGCAUCGGUGCAUGAUGUAAAGAAUCUCUCUGAAUUCUUCCACAAAAUUCCUGAAUGUUUUUCGAGGUUUUGAAGGAAGUGCCGAGACUUGAAAAGAAUCAGGUAAUUUUUUUUUUACCAAGUAUCUUAUAGAUAUUAUUAUCACUGUAAACAUAUGUCUCGAAAAGAAUCAAGUUUUUAUAAUUGUCAUAUGAUAUCAUAAUAAGAUAUGGUGAUAAUAACUGUGAGAACAUUUAUCAGUUUUCUUCA
Non-coding RNA from Phoenix dactylifera (date palm), 1608 nucleotides. The record is from RefSeq and is a predicted model, not a curated record. NCBI's taxonomy places the organism in Eukaryota, Viridiplantae, Streptophyta, Magnoliopsida, Arecales, Arecaceae.